GGCAAACUGUUGCACACUCACAACAUCCUCCCCAGAGCAAGGACAGAACUGUUCUCCCUCCUGGAAUCACCAAGAUCUUCCUCAAACCGCCCUGUGCUGGUGGCCGUGGUGGUAUAAAGACUCCCUGUCCAUUUACUGCAGGCUCCAACUCCAUCCUAACCACCAUGAGAUGGUCAAGGAAACUGUCUCCUCUCUCUGCUGAUUUCCAUGGCUUUGAACUGCGACCACACACCCACGUGGCACUGAAGAGAAAAGGUCACAUCUGGAAAAACAUCCUUAUUCUGAUGCAUGCAGAGUGACACAUAAUCAAUUCUAUUUCACACAGUGCAAGCUUGGUGAGGCAAAUUCUUGCCAUACAAUUGAAUCUCUUUCUUUUUAAAUCAGGAAAAACAGGUAUAUAUUGAUUUUAUGAUGCCGAAGUCAUGAUUAUUUAAUGUAAAAACUGAUAGCAGCCUCAAGUUUCCAGGCGUUUACGUUCUCCCAGUCUUUGCCUGCAAAAUUGCUGCAGGAAAAACAAAGACCAUCAGAUUUUGCCCACGAAUAAAGCAACCUGCUGGAUAGAAAUAAAAGUGAAUAAACUUUGCAGCUUAGCAAAACUAAGCAAACUUU
Molecule: long non-coding RNA, 609 nt
Organism: Cuculus canorus (common cuckoo)
Lineage: Eukaryota; Metazoa; Chordata; Aves; Cuculiformes; Cuculidae
Exons: 3
Source: RefSeq, a predicted model, not a curated record